GUGCCUUAUAUUCAUUAAUCCUUGAUUAAGUCAGCCCUAAAAUACCUACCCUUUUACUUUCUUAUUUUGUAUCUUGGAUUAUAUCUUUAAUUUUAAAACAAAACUAUCAAGUUAGUAAAUAGCUGUAAAAAUGACAAAGAAAAUCAGUGAAUACCAGUAAUCACUGAAACAACUGGUAAAUACACGUAAUUACUAAAUUGGCU
This 203-nucleotide long non-coding RNA is filed under the name Mytilus galloprovincialis (Mediterranean mussel). Lineage: Eukaryota; Metazoa; Mollusca; Bivalvia; Mytilida; Mytilidae. The record is from RNAcentral.